GACGAACGCUGGCGGCGUGCCUAAUACAUGCAAGUUGAGCGCUGAAGGUUGGUACUUGUACCGACUGGAUGAGCAGCGAACGGGUGAGUAACGCGUGGGGAAUCUGCCUUUGAGCGGGGGACAACAUUUGGAAACGAAUGCUAAUACCGCAUAAAAACUUUAAACACAAGUUUUAAGUUUGAAAGAUGCAAUUGCAUCACUCAAAGAUGAUCCCGCGUUGUAUUAGCUAGUUGGUGAGGUAAAGGCUCACCAAGGCGAUGAUACAUAGCCGACCUGAGAGGGUGGUCGGCCACAUUGGGACGGAGACACGGCCCAAACUCCUACGGGAGGCAGCAGUAGGGAAUCGUCGGCAAUGGACGAGAGUCUGACCGAGCAACGCCGCGUGAGUGAAGAAGGUUUUCGGAUCGUAAAACUCUGUUGGUAGAGAAGAACGGUGGUGAGAGUGGAAAGCUCAUCAAGUGACGGUAACUACACAGAAAGGGACGGCUAACUACGUG
This 497-nucleotide ribosomal RNA is filed under the name uncultured bacterium. RNAcentral's name for it is "partial 16S ribosomal RNA". It matches the Rfam family "Bacterial small subunit ribosomal RNA", at positions 28 to 507 of the family's 1533-position model. The record is from RNAcentral.